This 500-nucleotide ribosomal RNA is filed under the name uncultured bacterium. Its description in RNAcentral is "partial 16S ribosomal RNA". It matches the Rfam family "Bacterial small subunit ribosomal RNA", at positions 30 to 523 of the family's 1533-position model. The record is from RNAcentral.
AUUGAACGCUGGCGGCAGGCCUAACACAUGCAAGUCGAGCGGAUGACGGGAGCUUGCUCCUUGAUUCAGCGGCGGACGGGUGAGUAAUGCCUAGGAAUCUGCCUGGUAGUGGGGGACAACGUUUCGAAAGGAACGCUAAUACCGCAUACGUCCUACGGGAGAAAGCAGGGGACCUUCGGGCCUUGCGCUAUCAGAUGAGCCUAGGUCGGAUUAGCUAGUUGGCGGGGUAAUGGCUCACCAAGGCGACGAUCCGUAACUGGUCUGAGAGGAUGAUCAGUCACACUGGAACAGAGACACGGUCCAGACUCCUACGGGAGUCAGCAGUGGGGAAUAUUGGACAAUGGGCGAAAGCCUGAUCCAGCCAUGCCGCGUGUGUGAAGAAGGUCUUCGGAUUGUAAAGCACUUUAAGUUGGGAGGAAGGGCAGUAAGUUAAUACCUUGCUGUUUUGACGUUACCGACAGAAUAAGCACCGGCUAACUCUGUGCCAGCCGCCGCAGUAA